GUUUAGCCCCGAUUGUAGUGGAAAUCCUUUUUCGUGUUCUCGAUACUUUGGUUAAAUCCAAAACUCGAACUGACGAAAAAGAUUGAAACGGAAAGCGGGAAAAUGG
RNAcentral lists this small RNA (106 nucleotides) under Flavobacterium dankookense. Its description in RNAcentral is "Flavobacterium sp. ARSA-19 Flavo-1 RNA". It matches the Rfam family "Flavo-1 RNA". The record is from Rfam by way of RNAcentral. Lineage: Bacteria; Pseudomonadati; Bacteroidota; Flavobacteriia; Flavobacteriales; Flavobacteriaceae.